Molecule: non-coding RNA, 376 nt
Organism: Rattus norvegicus (Norway rat)
Lineage: Eukaryota; Metazoa; Chordata; Mammalia; Rodentia; Muridae
Source: RefSeq, a predicted model, not a curated record
AGGGUUGGGGAAGACAUUGUUUUGGGGAACUGAGGGUUGGUGGCAAUGGAUGGGAGUGCUUCCCAGUCCAUGUAGACUGAGGGUGGAGGAAGGGCAGCUUCCCCAAGCAGAGUCAAGACGCUAUUAUGAAGGGAAGGAUGAGUUAGGUCUUAACCAAUACCCAUCACAGAGCUGGAGCAGGAGAGAGAACGUCAAGAGAAAAGAGCUGGGGACCGAACCCAGGGCCUCGCGCUGGCUAGGCAAGCGCUCUACCACUGAGCUAAAUCCCCAACCCCUUUAAUUUUUUUCUAUUUGUUACCUUUUCUUAUCCCUUAGGUUACUAACUAACCUUUUCUUCUAUUACUGGGAUAAAAUAUUAAAUGGUGCUUUUGAGAAA